UGAGGAAUAUUGGUCAAUGGGCGCGAGCCUGAACCAGCCAAGUAGCGUGAAGGAUGAAGGUCCUAUGGAUUGUAAACUUCUUUUAUACGGGAAUAAAGUGGUCCACGUGUGGGCUUUUGCAUGUACCGUAUGAAUAAGGAUCGGCUAACUCCGUGCCAGCAGCCGCGGUAAUACGGAGGAUCCGAGCGUUAUCCGGAUUUAUUGGGUUUAAAGGGAGCGUAGAUGGAUGUUUAAGUCAGUUGUGAAAGUUUGCGGCUCAACCGUAAAAUUGCAGUUGAUACUGGAUAUCUUGAGUGCAGUUGAGGCAGGCGGAAUUCGUGGUGUAGCGGUGAAAUGCUUAGAUAUCACGAAGAACUCCGAUUGCGAAGGCAGCCUGCUAAGCUGCAACUGACAUUGAGGCUCGAAAGUGUGGGUAUCAAACAGGAUUAGAUACCCUGGUAGUCCACACGGUAAACGAUGAAUACUCGCUGUUUGCGAUAUACUGCAAGCGGCCAAGCGAAAGCGUUAAGUAUUCCACCUGGGGAGUACGCCGGCAACGGUGAAACUCAAAGGAAUUGACGGGGGCCCGCACAAGCGGAGGAACAUGUGGUUUAAUUCGAUGAUACGCGAGGAACCUUACCCGGGCUUAAAUUGCAGAUGAAUUACGGUGAAAGCCGUAAGCCGCAAGGCAUCUGUGAAGGUGCUGCAUGGUUGUCGUCAGCUCGUGCCGUGAGGUGUCGGCUUAAGUGCCAUAACGAGCGCAACCCUUGUUGUCAGUUACUAACAGGUUCCGCUGAGGACUCUGACAAGACUGCCAUCGUAAGAUGCGAGGAAGGUGGGGAUGACGUCAAAUCAGCACGGCCCUUACGUCCGGGGCUACACACGUGUUACAAUGGGAGGUACAGAAGGCAGCUACCCGGCGACGGGAUGCCAAUCUCCAAAGCCUCUCUCAGUUCGGACUGGAGUCUGCAACCCGACUCCACGAAGCUGGAUUCGCUAGUAAUCGCGCAUCAGCCACGGCGCGGUGAAUACGUUCCC
Molecule: ribosomal RNA, 1017 nt
Filed under: uncultured bacterium
Lineage: Bacteria
Description: bacterial SSU rRNA
Rfam family: Bacterial small subunit ribosomal RNA
Source: RNAcentral